Long non-coding RNA from Glossina fuscipes, 1093 nucleotides. RefSeq lists it as uncharacterized. The record is from RefSeq and is a predicted model, not a curated record. NCBI's taxonomy places the organism in Eukaryota, Metazoa, Arthropoda, Insecta, Diptera, Glossinidae. The transcript has 3 exons.
AUCCAUUUCUGCUAAACAAAUCAGAAAAAGAAAACGUAAAUUAAAAUUUUUAGGUAAUAAACUGAAAAGUGUUUUACGCGUAUGAACUCUAUAUCUCAAAGAAAAUGAUACGAAAUGAUGUGAAAUAAGACGAUUUUCAAUAAACGCGAAUAAAAAAUUUCGUUCGUUUAUGGCUAAAACAUUUGUUCAACGCGGAAGAGCGUAAUCAAUUUAACAAGAAAAGUGUUGCACGUUUAAAAUCAACGGAAAGAUCAAUAUGUUAAUAUUUCUUUACGUUUGUUUAUGUCGAUUUCUCACUGCCCUCGAAAGCUUUGUGGAAUGAGCUAACAAUGGAAUUGAAUUCAAUGAGUGUUCGGGGCAAACAUUCAACGGGGUGGCGAUAAAUUUGACCGGAACAUAAAGCCAAAAAUGGCGGGUGUCAACAGAUUGUUUCUGCAGAAAAGACAAACUUCCUUGUUCGUCAGCUCGGAGACGUCAACACCAUCGUUUAGAUAAGUUGCGGAUGUUUCAGUAUUCAAAUCUUUGAAAUUCGCUGAUAUGAUGCAGAUAUGUAAUUCUUCAAUUUAUCCCACUGCUUAAUCAAUGAGUCAAGCAUUAAUUUGAUUUGAAUGCAAUGUCCUUGUCGAUAGGCUCACAGUUCAACGACUUCACACGUACGAAUCAUGGCAUGAUUCCGCAAGACGUAAGCAUAAAAGAUUCAUAUAAAACACUUUCGCUUUGCUUGGGCUUUUGAAAGUAAACGUGAGUUCCAGGUGCGCACCCAAUUACUACAUAUUCGUUUGUUUUAUAACAAAGCGCUACAACAUCGAAAGCAUGACAAAAAUUACCUACCACCUGGAAUCCUGAAUUUUCAAUAAAGCCACAACUUUAUCUUGGAAUUAACAAUACAUCGGAUCUACUUGCAAAGUUUUAUUUCGAUUUUUUUUAAAAAUCUUCUGACAUAAAAACUGAAAACGUAGACUGUGCAACGCUCGAAUAAAUCCUACAUUGGCUUGGCUUUAUUAAACGCAAUAUUUAAAAUGAUUUAUUUGUGAAAAUGGAAGAAAUUUAUUAUCUUUUUUUUUUAUUAUAUGUAUCGUUCCGAACUUAGAAC